GAUGAACGCUGACAGAAUGCUUAACACAUGCAAGUCCACUUGAAUUUGGGUUUUUAACUUAGGUUUGGGUGGCGGACGGGUGAGUAACGCGUAAAGAACUUGCCUCACAGCUAGGGACAACAUUUGGAAACGAAUGCUAAUACCUAAUAUUAUGAUAAUAGGGCAUCCUAUAAUUAUGAAAGCUAUAAGCGCUGUGAGAGAGCUUUGCGUCCCAUUAGCUAGUUGGAGAGGUAACGGCUCACCAAGGCGAUGAUGGGUAGCCGGCCUGAGAGGGUGAUCGGCCAAAAGGGGACUGAGACACGGCCCUUACUCCUACGGGAGGCAGCAGUGGGGAAUAUUGGACAAUGGACCGAGAGUCUGAUCCAGCAAUUCUGUGUGCACGAUGAAGUUUUUCGGAAUGUAAAGUGCUUUCAGUUGGGAAGAAACAAAUGACGGUACCAACAGAAGAAGUGACGGCUAAAUACGUG
RNAcentral lists this ribosomal RNA (467 nucleotides) under uncultured bacterium. Its description in RNAcentral is "partial 16S ribosomal RNA". It matches the Rfam family "Bacterial small subunit ribosomal RNA", at positions 28 to 507 of the family's 1533-position model. The record is from RNAcentral.